CCUACGGGUGGCUGCAGUGGGGAAUAUUGCACAAUGGGCGCAAGCCUGAUGCAGCCAUGCCGCGUGUGUGAAGAAGGCCUUCGGGUUGUAAAGCACUUUCAGCGGGGAGGAAGGCGUUAAGGUUAAUAACCUUGGCGAUUGACGUUACCCGCAGAAGAAGCACCGGCUAACUCCGUGCCAGCAGCCGCGGUAAUACGGAGGGUGCAAGCGUUAAUCGGAAUUACUGGGCGUAAAGCGCACGCAGGCGGUCUGUCAAGUCGGAUGUGAAAUCCCCGGGCUCAACCUGGGAACUGCAUUCGAAACUGGCAGGCUAGAGUCUUGUAGAGGGGGGUAGAAUUCCAGGUGUAGCGGUGAAAGGCGUAGAGAUCUGGAGGAAUACCGGUGGCGAAGGCGGCCCCCUGGACAAAGACUGACGCUCAGGUGCGAAAGCGUGGGGAGCAAACAGGAUUAGAUACCCCGGUAGUC
Molecule: ribosomal RNA, 465 nt
Filed under: uncultured Klebsiella sp.
Lineage: Bacteria; Pseudomonadati; Pseudomonadota; Gammaproteobacteria; Enterobacterales; Enterobacteriaceae
Description: bacterial SSU rRNA
Rfam family: Bacterial small subunit ribosomal RNA
Source: RNAcentral